Molecule: ribosomal RNA, 468 nt
Filed under: uncultured bacterium
Lineage: Bacteria
Description: partial 16S ribosomal RNA
Rfam family: Bacterial small subunit ribosomal RNA
Source: RNAcentral
GACGAACGCUGGCGGCGUGCUUAACACAUGCAAGUCGAACGGAAAGGCCCUGCUUUUGUGGGGUGCUCGAGUGGCGAACGGGUGAGUAACACGUGAGUAACCUGCCCUUGACUUUGGGAUAACUUCAGGAAACUGGGGCUAAUACCGGAUAGGAGCUCCUGCUGCAUGGUGGGGGUUGGAAAGUUUCGGCGGUUGGGGAUGGACUGGCGGCUUAUCAGCUUGUUGGUGGGGUAGGGGCUUACCAAGGCUUUGACGGGUAGCCGGCCUGAGAGGGUUACCGGCCACAUUGGGACUGAGAUACGGCCCAGACUCCUACGGGAGGCAGCAGUGGGGAAUAUUGCACAAUGGGCGGAAGCCUGAUGCAGCAACGCCGCGUGCGGGAUGACGGCCUUCGGGUUGUAAACCGCUUUCGCCUGUGACGAAGCGUGAGUGGCGGUAAUGGGUAAAGAAGCACCGGCUAACUACGUG